ACCCCGUUAGUGUCGACCCCAAGGGUAAGGUGAAGCCUCUGCCCGGGUGUGCCACGUUCCCAGACCUCGGUGGGAACAUCUGCGGUUCGUUCCUGAACAUCCAAGAAAACCUCACGAUAUGAGCAUAAGCUUGUAGGUUGGGAAAGUCACUAGAGGUGCCGUUGAUGUGAUUCCUUGUCAGGACAAAAGAAAAUUCCAUGUUUCUUUUUGGAUUGAUCGAAGAGAUCACCUAGCUUUCUGUACAAAGGUCAUUAACAGAGAUUAAUACUUUAAUACUUCGUAACCAACAGCAAUCCAAAUGGUUCGUCAGUUCAGUUCCAUAAACUGUAACAUUAACAGAUAAGUGAAUUUGGCUCUGUACUUUUCUCUGAAACUUAGCUUUAUGACUCAAAACUUAGUUCCUGACAGAGGAAUUGUAGCUAACCAUUGGAGUGCGCUACUACUUACAAUUGUCUGAGAUAUAGAUAAUAGAGCAUUUCAGAAUUACCUAAGUGCAUUUCGAUGUUAUUAGUAAGUAGCAUGAAAAUUUGGCACUUCCUAUAAAAUUCAAACAUCACCAAGCCUAGCAUACCAAAAAGAGAAAACUAAACAAACGGAUUGGCAAUAGUUUGCAGUCCAAAUUCUACUACUGCGAUGCACCGAAGUCAUGCACAACAGAGGCCCAGAAUGAAGACUGCAAUGCUAUUGGCAUUUUUUUUUUGAAAAAAACUUCAGUUGGAUAGCGAGAUGCUAACCUCCGUUGUUGGUUCUCACCAAAGCAGUCGAGCACUCAUCGUCAUCCUCAAGCUCCCCGCAUCACCCACGGCCGCAUCGUAACGCCAUUGCGGCCCCCGGGGUCGAGUCUCUCUUGUCUCCGGUAGCCCGCAAUUGGCCACCUCCGCCCGCGCUCACUGGGUGUAGCGCCGAUUUCGCUACUACGGGGAAGAACCGCCGGUCUCCCUCUGCUUCAGUCAUCCGCCUCGGGGAAACGCCGCGCAAACAACACUGACCACCGCUUCUAACCAGGGGGUAUGCACUAGUAAACUUGAGAUUGGAGAACAAAGCCGCCGCGUCGGCGCAGAGAGUGAGGACCGGGGAAGGAUCGGGAGCUCAUCGGCAAUGACGUGGCGGCAGUCGCCGUCGCCGGGGGAAAGCGCCGUGAGAUCGGGAGGGCGAGAGCGAGGCGAACAGCAAACGAGGG
This 1180-nucleotide long non-coding RNA is filed under the name Setaria italica (foxtail millet). RNAcentral describes it as "long non-coding RNA (SITA_LNC007424)". The record is from RNAcentral. Lineage: Eukaryota; Viridiplantae; Streptophyta; Magnoliopsida; Poales; Poaceae.